Molecule: RNA transcript, 882 nt
Organism: Homarus americanus (American lobster)
Lineage: Eukaryota; Metazoa; Arthropoda; Malacostraca; Decapoda; Nephropidae
Exons: 3
Source: RefSeq, a predicted model, not a curated record
AGAUUGAUAUUUGCACCGUGUCAUUUUCUGAUGGCAGAGCAUUUUGUCUUCUUCACCAUUAUUAACCUGACCUGAUUCCUAUGGACCUUAUCAACUGGCAUCAUACACAGAAGCUACCAUCUCAGGGAGUUGAUUUGAUCAUGUCACUGGAUGACAGCUUCAUUGAAAUGACAUACACAGACACAAGUACUAAAGAAGAUUACAACCGCACGCAUGCGAUUGAAAGGGACAAUUUGGCUGUUUUCAAUGACAAGAUGGGUGCUCUUGCUGUCAAAUAAUCUCAUGGUGAGAUGCCUUCCCUAGAUGGUAAUUUAUCAUUCUUAGGAGAGGUGCUUGUAGCCCUUCCACUUCACCCCCAUCUUGCCAAGCUGAUUGUGAUUGGCUAUCUGUUCGGUUGUGUCAUGGAAUGUAAGAUUAUUGGUGAGUAAAGAUGUUAUUCUCAUUUAAGAUCUUAAAAUUUGUCUCUGUUUUCUGCCUCUUUGUUCUACAGGAUCCAUAUGGGUUAAUUAGUUUGUCAUGGUAGAAUGGAUGCUUCACUUGUAACAGUACUUUGACUUAAUGGAUCAUACUGUUUACUGUCAAGCAUUGUAUGCCUUCUUGUUUUGUAUCCUAGUUAAUUUAUGGAGUUCUUUUGGCUGUCAUAAAAUUAUUGUUGGGGAUGGGGAAGACAACAUAUAGUGGGAAGAUAGUUUUUAUGAUUAAUAAUAGAUGGGUGAGUGUAUAGGCUGUCUGGCCAAACUGUCUACACUGCUUUAUAGAUUUUAUUAUUAAUUGUGUGAAUGAUUGUAUUAUAACAGCCACAUUCUUUUUGUAAGGCAGUGCAUAAAUUUUUUGAUAAUCUGUAUAUUAUAACUUACUCAAGUAGAAUAAACAUGUUAAUUC